UGUGUAUACGUUGGAUAAAAUUAAUGUUUCUCAUCAACUUAUAGGAGGAAACAUAAAAGAGUCGUGGCGUCGUGCAGCCUACCGUCUACCGUCAACUAUUUUGUUCAAAAUCAUUGUAUUCUACUGAAUGUGCCAUCGAAAUGAUACAGGAGUCAUAAUUAUCUGCUGUUUGUAUUGGACUUGGUAGAUCACCAACGGCCCAGCAUAGACCAAUCUCACAUUUCAUCUUCUCGAGAGAAGAUUGGAUAACUGAUCGGUGGUUUCAUGUGUUCUAAACUCCAGGUUUCUAAAUUUGCAUGGCAGACUUUAUGAGAAGUCAUGUCCUUUCAAGAAAGUCAGCAAGGUCCCUUGUUUACUAACCUGUUGGCUGCUACCCUUGAGUCUUCCUUUUUACUUUCUUAAGCGGGCCAUCUUUAUUUGAGGGUAAUCCUUCGCUACUUGUCAUGGCCUUCAUCCACAGGUGAAAAACCGACGAGACAAUGCUGCAAUUCAAGACUGAUAAAUUGUUUAAUCGUUAGAUUCAAUUACAAGUGCAUAUCUGGGCUCCCUUCUUUUCUGUGGCCCCGUUUCCCUAACUAACCACUA
Molecule: long non-coding RNA, 585 nt
Filed under: Daphnia pulicaria
Lineage: Eukaryota; Metazoa; Arthropoda; Branchiopoda; Diplostraca; Daphniidae
Description: uncharacterized LOC124314939, transcript variant X3
Source: RNAcentral